This 642-nucleotide ribosomal RNA is filed under the name Bacillus sp. (in: firmicutes). RNAcentral's name for it is "bacterial SSU rRNA". It matches the Rfam family "Bacterial small subunit ribosomal RNA", at positions 37 to 662 of the family's 1533-position model. The record is from RNAcentral. Lineage: Bacteria; Bacillati; Bacillota; Bacilli; Caryophanales; Bacillaceae.
UGGCGGCGUGCCUAUACAUGCAAGUCGAGCGGACAGAUGGGAGCUUGCUCCCUGAUGUUAGCGGCGGACGGGUGAGUAACACGUGGGUAACCUGCCUGUAAGACUGGGAUAACUCCGGGAAACCGGGGCUAAUACCGGAUGCUUGUUUGAACCGCAUGGUUCAAGCAUAAAAGGUGGCUUCGGCUACCACUUACAGAUGGACCCGCGGCGCAUUAGCUAGUUGGUGAGGUAAUGGCUCACCAAGGCAACGAUGCGUAGCCGACCUGAGAGGGUGAUCGGCCACACUGGGACUGAGACACGGCCCAGACUCCUACGGGAGGCAGCAGUAGGGAAUCUUCCGCAAUGGACGAAAGUCUGACGGAGCAACGCCGCGUGAGUGAUGAAGGUUUUCGGAUCGUAAAGCUCUGUUGUUAGGGAAGAACAAGUACCGUUCGAAUAGGGCGGUACCUUGACGGUACCUAACCAGAAAGCCACGGCUAACUACGUGCCAGCAGCCGCGGUAAUACGUAGGUGGCAAGCGUUGUCCGGAAUUAUUGGGCGUAAAGGGCUCGCAGGCGGUUUCUUAAGUCUGAUGUGAAAGCCCCCGGCUCAACCGGGGAGGGUCAUUGGAAACUGGGGAACUUGAGUGCAGAAGAGGAGAGU